RNAcentral lists this ribosomal RNA (253 nucleotides) under uncultured bacterium. RNAcentral's name for it is "partial 16S ribosomal RNA". It matches the Rfam family "Bacterial small subunit ribosomal RNA", at positions 524 to 776 of the family's 1533-position model. The record is from RNAcentral.
UACGGAGGGUGCGAGCGUUGUUCGGAAUUACUGGGCGUAAAGCGCGUGUAGGCGGCCUUGUAAGUCUGGUGUGAAAGCCCGGGGCUCACCCCCGGAAGUGCAUUGGAUACUGCAAGGCUUGAGUACCGGAGAGGAGGGUGGAAUUCCUGGUGUAGCGGUGAAAUGCGUAGAUAUCAGGAGGAACACCGGUGGCGAAGGCGGCCCUCUGGACGGAUACUGACGCUGAGACGCGAAAGCGUGGGGAGCAAACAGG